AAGACUGACACUAUUAGCUGGGAAUCCGACACUGCCUUCUAAUGCUUUAUCUUAUAUCAUAAAGAAAACCACUUAUACUAGCAAGACCUUAACUCUAAACUGGGACUUACACCAACUCUGACUUUGAUUCCCGGACUUAGCCCUUGCAUUCUGACUUACACCAACAUAGGGGUUAGCCUAUCUACAUUCCCUUUGACCUUUGAUUCCGAAACUCACUCUCGAUCUAACAUCUUACUUUAUUAUAGGUUUAGUCUGCUGCUUGCCC
RNAcentral lists this long non-coding RNA (265 nucleotides) under Musa acuminata (dwarf banana). RNAcentral's name for it is "long non-coding RNA (MACU_LNC008106)". The record is from RNAcentral. Lineage: Eukaryota; Viridiplantae; Streptophyta; Magnoliopsida; Zingiberales; Musaceae.